This 72-nucleotide transfer RNA is filed under the name Schistometopum thomense. RNAcentral describes it as "tRNA-Pro". The record is from RNAcentral. Lineage: Eukaryota; Metazoa; Chordata; Amphibia; Gymnophiona; Dermophiidae.
AGGAGAUAGUUUAAAAAAAAAGAAUUUUGGUUUUGGGUGCCAAUGGUAAAAAUAAAAAAUUUUUUUUUCCUA